UGCAGACCUGCUCAUAUCUCAGUUACAACUGGCUAAAACUGUUUGAAUAAGAUGUUGAAACAUGAUAAUACAAUCAUCCCUCCACAGUAAGAGCUAUCAGACAGGCGAUUGACGACGGUUUAACUACAGGGUCACCACACAUUAGGCAAGGGAAGAAGUUGAGAAGGAGAACCCUUCAUGAAAACCUCAAACAGUGUAGGAAUUGAACGCACGAUGUUGUGAAUCACUGCAUUGCAGCCGCCCAGUCAACUGAGAUACUCCACCCAACUUCGCAACACAAAGCACAAGUCAACCAUGUGAUGGAAUACUCCCCACUUGCUUGGAUCAGUGCACCCCAACAACACUCAAGAAACUUCACACCAUCCAGGACAAAGCAGCCUGCUUGACUGGCACUACAUCCACAAGCAUCCACUCCCUCCACCACCGACGCUCAAUAGCAACAGUGUCUACUAUUUACAAGACGCACUGCAGAAAUUCACCAAAGAUCCUCAGACAGCACCUUCCAAACCCACGACCACUUCUAUCUAGAAGGACAAGGGCAACAGAUACAUGGGAACACCACCACCUUCAAGUUCGCCUCCAAGCUGCUCACUAUCCUGACUUGGAAAUAAAUCGUCAUUCUUUCACUCUCGCUGGGUCAAAAUGCUGAAAUUCCCUCCUUAAGGACAUUGUGGGUCAACCUACAGCAGGUGGACUGCAGCAGUUCCAGAAGGCAGCCCACCAUCACCUUCUCAAGGGCAACUAGGGAUGGGCAAUGAAUGCUGGCCAGUCAGUGACACCCACACCCCACAAAUGAAUAAUUUUAAAAAAAAUAAACUUAUAGGAUUCUCAUCAAUUUCUCAUUAAGAUGCCCCUACCCCAUUUAUCUACAGUUAAAACUUUAAUUCCUAAAACUAAACAUUAUAUUCUGAAAGAUCAAUUAUGAACUAGAUAUUUGCAACAGGUAGAACUGUUCUCUGUUAUAUCUGUCAGAUGAAUGGCUGUCAUAUUAAGAUGUAAAGAUAUUCAGGUAUUGUAACUAAGGGUUGAUUGUUUAUUUUACCUGUCUAUGUAAGAUUAUAAAAUAGGAAUACACGCCUAUGAAACAUCACAAACUAGUCCUCAGUGACAUGCAGCCUCUAAUAAUGUGCAAUGCAAUUUAAUAUUUCUGGGAUUUAAAAUAAUAUUUGUAAUUGUUAUUUAGUGAUUACAUGCAUAUAUUUCCCAGCUUCAUAAGCUUGGGUUUAAACAGUUAGGUUCUUAUGAUUUUGUAAAGUUACAGGCUUUUAUCACGAGUACUCUUUUUUAGCUCUGAGAAUGGUAUCAACUCCUCCCUUCCCAAAGUUCUCCAUGUAUCUCUUUUUGAAAGGCUUUUCAGGAACAUUAACCUCAUUAUUAAAAAAAUGCUUCUGCUGUUUAAUUACUAAUCCCAACUUUCCAGGCCAAUUUUGAUUUGAAAGCGAUGUUAAAAUGCAGGAAUUUUUGGAACUCCAGUAAAGUUGAGGUUGAGCUGCAAUUCUUGUGGGGUUAACCACCAAUCUGUACAACUCAUCCAGUAACCUGUGUUGAUUCACUAUUCAUGGGCUAUUGUUUCCUUGUCACAGUUAGUUGAGCAUUUUACGUAUUAAUGAGGAUGUGGGCAUUAAAUUUGUCAUUCUUGUCCUUUCCUGGUCCCUGUCACAUCCCACACAAGCAGCUGCAAUGACCUCACCUGACCACACUGAGAAUUUGGCAAGCUUUAGUAGUGUACAAAUUCAUAGAUUCUCCAUUGUGAUAUUUUGUACACAUUGCCAGAUGUCAGCUAUUGCAGACAGCCAGGGAGUUUUGGAACUGUCAGGUAAUACAAAUAACUCAAACACAUUUUUAAAAUACUUGAUACCACUCCAAAAGAACAAAAACAGAUAAUUUUAGCAGGUCCUGGCCUUAGCAAAUGUCAUAUAUGCUUGUGCCAGUUUGACAAGCUGACAUUGUGGUUGGUCUCCAUGAUCAGAAACUCUACACUCUGAUAUUUUUUAAUGUAAAGAUAAAAGUAAUCAAAGUAAGUAUGACACUCCUGAGUUAUGUUUGAAAUUGCCCUCAAAAAUUGGUAAAAUUGAGAGAACAUUUCUGUUCCAAAAACCUAGUUCCUACAUCAUUUUCCUACUUUCUUAAGAUUCCCUUGUCUCACAUCCAGUCCUGAACAAUGACCUUGUUAGUUGAUCUCUCGAGUUUUGCUUUAAAUCUUUGUCAAGGGUGUCUGGCAGAGUAAUGUUCUGACCCAUGAUUUUCCUUCCUGUCUCAGAAAAUACCUGUGCUUCUUACCUUCCCUUUGAAUAUCCAUGUAUGAUUGAACAAUUUCUCUGUUAGUAAAGACUGGAAUGGUC
Rhincodon typus (whale shark) is the source of this 2342-nucleotide long non-coding RNA. RefSeq lists it as uncharacterized. The record is from RefSeq and is a predicted model, not a curated record. NCBI's taxonomy places the organism in Eukaryota, Metazoa, Chordata, Chondrichthyes, Orectolobiformes, Rhincodontidae. The transcript is spliced from 3 exons.